AAUAUUUUACAAUGGGGGCAACCCUGAUCCAGCCAUGCCGCGUGUGUGAAGAAGGUCUUCGGAUUGUAUAGCACUCUAAGUUGGGAGGAAGGGCUUUAGGUUAAUACCCUGAAGUUUUGACGUUACCAACAGAAUAAGCACCGCCCAACUCUGUGCCAGAAGCCGCGGUAAUACAGAGGGUGCAAGCGUUAAUCGGAAUUACUGGGCGUCAAGCGAGAGUAGGUGGUUCAGUAAGAGGGGAGUGGAAUCCCCGGGCUUAAGCUAGGAGCUGCGUUCAUAACUGCUGAGCUGUAGUAAGGUAGAGAGUAGUGGAAUUUCCUGUGUAGCGGUGAGAUGCGUAGAUAUAGGAAGGAACAGCAGUGGCGAAGGCGACUACCUGGACUGAUACUGACACUGAGGUGCGAAAGCGUGGGGGGCAAAC
RNAcentral lists this ribosomal RNA (421 nucleotides) under uncultured bacterium. RNAcentral's name for it is "partial 16S ribosomal RNA". It matches the Rfam family "Bacterial small subunit ribosomal RNA", at positions 360 to 773 of the family's 1533-position model. The record is from RNAcentral.